Molecule: ribosomal RNA, 258 nt
Filed under: uncultured bacterium
Lineage: Bacteria
Description: partial 16S ribosomal RNA
Rfam family: Bacterial small subunit ribosomal RNA
Source: RNAcentral
UGGCGGACGGGUGAGUAACGCGUGAGCAACCUGCCCUUCGGAGGGGGAUAGUGUCUGGAAACGGACAGUAAUACCGCAUAACGUAUUUUUACCGCAUGAUAGAAAUACCAAAACUGAGGUGCCGAAGGAUGGGCUCGCGUUGGAUUAGAUAGUUGGUGGGGUAACGGCCUACCAAGUCAACGAUCCAUAGCCGGACUGAGAGGUUGAACGGCCACAUUGGGACUGAGACACGGCCCAGACUCCUACGGGAGGCAGCAG